Molecule: ribosomal RNA, 503 nt
Filed under: uncultured bacterium
Lineage: Bacteria
Description: partial 16S ribosomal RNA
Rfam family: Bacterial small subunit ribosomal RNA
Source: RNAcentral
AUUGAACGCUGGCGGCAGGCUUAACACAUGCAAGUCGAGCGGGGUGAUGGUGCUUGCACUAUCACCUAGCGGCGGACGGGUGAGUAAUGCUUAGGAAUCUGCCUAUUAGUGGGGGACAACAUCUCGAAAGGGAUGCUAAUACCGCAUACGUCCUACGGGAGAAAGCAGGGGAUCACUUGUGACCUUGCGCUAAUAGACGAGCCUAAGUCGGAUUAGCUAGUUGGUGGGGUAAAGGCCUACCAAGGCGACGAUCUGUAGCGGGUCUGAGAGGAUGAUCCGCCACACUGGGACUGAGACACGGCCCAGACUCCUACGGGAGGCAGCAGUGGGGAAUAUUGGACAAUGGGGGGAACCCUGAUCCAGCCAUGCCGCGUGUGUGAAGAAGGCCUUAUGGUUGUAAAGCACUUUAAGCGAGGAGGAGGCUCUUUUGGUUAAUACCCAAGAUGAGUGGACGUUACUCGCAGAAUAAGCACCGGCUAACUCUGUGCCAGCCGCCGCGGUAA